UAUUACUUUUAUUAUUAACUGGCUUCGAUAUAUUGUUUGAAGUAUUGUGUUAGUUCUAUUUGUCCUGUAUGUUAAAUGUCAUUCUGAUUUCAUGAAUGUUUAAAUUGUUUUUUAAAUGAAUCUCAUGCUAAAAAAAUAUGCUUUAAAGUGCAAGAUAUUCCUAAGAAGCCAAUGGCAGAAGAAUAUAAACCAAGAAAAGAAGAGAUCAUGACAAUGCAAGUGAAAGAAGCUUAUACGAAGACUGUGAUUGAAGAAUUCCAACAAGACGUUGUUCAGGAGAGAAAAGCGGCUGCUCCUGUUAAAGUUCUGGAGAUUCCACAGAAACACAAACCUGAACAAGUCCAAACAGUUAAAAUUACAAGAGAAAAGACAACUCUGAUAACAGGUAUAUUAAAAAAGUCUGUACAAAUAUUUCUUAGUCUUUCCUCUUUGUGCCUUAAAAUCAAGUUUUUAUAUAAUAUGGGCAGCGGCUUUGUCAGACACGCCCACACUGUGCGGGCAGCGGCUUAGUCAGACACGCACACGCUGGGCGGGGCAGCGGCUUCGUCAGCCACGCCCACGCUGGGCGUAGAGCGGCUCCGUUAGCGAC
Leucoraja erinaceus (little skate) is the source of this 589-nucleotide long non-coding RNA. RefSeq lists it as uncharacterized. NCBI's taxonomy places the organism in Eukaryota, Metazoa, Chordata, Chondrichthyes, Rajiformes, Rajidae. The record is from RefSeq and is a predicted model, not a curated record. The transcript is spliced from 3 exons.